RNAcentral lists this ribosomal RNA (465 nucleotides) under Vreelandella stevensii. RNAcentral describes it as "partial 16S ribosomal RNA". It matches the Rfam family "Bacterial small subunit ribosomal RNA", at positions 338 to 795 of the family's 1533-position model. The record is from RNAcentral. Lineage: Bacteria; Pseudomonadati; Pseudomonadota; Gammaproteobacteria; Oceanospirillales; Halomonadaceae.
CCUACGGGUGGCAGCUGUGGGGAAUAUUGGACAAUGGGGGCAACCCUGAUCCAGCCAUGCCGCGUGUGUGAAGAAGGCCCUCGGGUUGUAAAGCACUUUCAGUGAGGAAGAACGCCUGGUGGUUAAUACCCAUCAGGAAAGACAUCACUCACAGAAGAAGCACCGGCUAACUCCGUGCCAGCAGCCGCGGUAAUACGGAGGGUGCGAGCGUUAAUCGGAAUUACUGGGCGUAAAGCGCGCGUAGGUGGCUUGAUAAGCCGGUUGUGAAAGCCCCGGGCUCAACCUGGGAACGGCAUCCGGAACUGUCAAGCUAGAGUGCAGGAGAGGAAGGUAGAAUUCCCGGUGUAGCGGUGAAAUGCGUAGAGAUCGGGAGGAAUACCAGUGGCGAAGGCGGCCUUCUGGACUGACACUGACACUGAGGUGCGAAAGCGUGGGUAGCAAACAGGAUUAGAUACCCCAGUAGUC